RNAcentral lists this ribosomal RNA (406 nucleotides) under uncultured bacterium. Its description in RNAcentral is "partial 16S ribosomal RNA". It matches the Rfam family "Bacterial small subunit ribosomal RNA", at positions 29 to 526 of the family's 1533-position model. The record is from RNAcentral.
AUUGAACGCUGGCGGCAGGCCUAACACAUGCAAGUCGAGCGAGCGGCGGACGGGUGAGUAAUGUCUGGGAAACUGCCUGAUGGAGGGGGAUAACUACUGGAAACGGUAGCUAAUACCGCAUACCAUCAGAUGUGCCCAGAUGGGAUUAGCUAGUCGGUGGGGUAACGGCUCACCUAGGCGACGAUCCCUAGCUGGUCUGAGAGGAUGAUCAGCCACACUGGAACUGAGACACGGUCCAGACUACUACGGGAGGCAGCAGGGGGGAAUGUUGCACAAUGGGCGAAAGCCUGAUGCAGCCAUGCCGCGUGUAUGAAGAAGGCCUUCGGGUUGUAAAGGACUUUCAGCGGGGAGGCGUUACCCGCAGAAGAAGCACCGGCUAACUCCGGGCCAGCCGCCGCGGUAAUAC